GGUUAAGCGACUAAGCGUACACGGUGGAUGCCUAGGCAGUCAGAGGCGAUGAAGGGCGUGCUAAUCUGCGAAAAGCGUCGGUAAGCUGAUAUGAAGCGUUAUAACCGACGAUACCCGAAUGGGGAAACCCAGUGCAAUACGUUGCACUAUCGUUAGAUGAAUACAUAGUCUAACGAGGCGAACCGGGGGAACUGAAACAUCUAAGUACCCCGAGGAAAAGAAAUCAACCGAGAUUCCCCCAGUAGCGGCGAGCGAACGGGGAGGAGCCCAGAGUCUGAAUCAGUUUGUGUGUUAGUGGAAGCGUCUGGAAAGUCGCACGGUACAGGGUGAUAGUCCCGUACACCAAAAUGCACAGGCUGUGAACUCGAUGAGUAGGGCGGGACACGUGACAUCCUGUCUGAAUAUGGGGGGACCAUCCUCCAAGGCUAAAUACUCCUGACUGACCGAUAGUGAACCAGUACCGUGAGGGAAAGGCGAAAAGAACCCCGGCGAGGGGAGUGAAAUAGAACCUGAAACCGUGUACGUACAAGCAGUGGGAGCACCUUCGUGGUGUGACUGCGUACCUUUUGUAUAAUGGGUCAGCGACUUAUAUUUUGUAGCAAGGUUAACCGAAUAGGGGAGCCGUAGGGAAACCGAGUCUUAACUGGGCGUCUAGUUGCAAGGUAUAGACCCGAAACCCGGUGAUCUAGCCAUGGGCAGGUUGAAGGUUGGGUAACACUAACUGGAGGACCGAACCGACUAAUGUUGAAAAAUUAGCGGAUGACUUGUGGCUGGGGGUGAAAGGCCAAUCAAACCGGGAGAUAGCUGGUUCUCCCCGAAAGCUAUUUAGGUAGCGCCUCGUGAACUCAUCUUCGGGGGUAGAGCACUGUUUCGGCUAGGGGGCCAUCCCGGCUUACCAAACCGAUGCAAACUCCGAAUACCGAAGAAUGUUAUCACGGGAGACACACGGCGGGUGCUAACGUCCGUCGUGAAGAGGGAAACAACCCAGACCGCCAGCUAAGGUCCCAAAGUCAUGGUUAAGUGGGAAACGAUGUGGGAAGGCACAGACAGCCAGGAUGUUGGCUUAGAAGCAGCCAUCAUUUAAAGAAAGCGUAAUAGCUCACUGGUCGAGUCGGCCUGCGCGGAAGAUGUAACGGGGCUAAACCAUGCACCGAAGCUGCGGCAGCGACACUUAGGUGUUGUUGGGUAGGGGAGCGUUCUGUAAGCCGUUGAAGGUGACCUGUGAGGGUUGCUGGAGGUAUCAGAAGUGCGAAUGCUGACAUAAGUAACGAUAAUGCGGGUGAAAAACCCGCACGCCGGAAGACCAAGGGUUCCUGUCCAACGUUAAUCGGGGCAGGGUGAGUCGACCCCUAAGGCGAGGCUGAAAAGCGUAGUCGAUGGGAAACAGGUUAAUAUUCCUGUACUUGGUGUUACUGCGAAGGGGGGACGGAGAAGGCUAGGCUGGCCGGGCGACGGUUGUCCCGGUUUAAGCGUGUAGGGGGAGUGACCAGGUAAAUCCGGUUGCUUAUCAACCCUGAGGCGUGAUGACGAUGCACCACGGUGCAGAAGCAGUUGAUGCCAUGCUUCCAGGAAAAGCCUCUAAGCAUCAGGUAACAUUAAAUCGUACCCCAAACCGACACAGGUGGUCAGGUAGAGAAUACUCAGGCGCUUGAGAGAACUCGGGUGAAGGAACUAGGCAAAAUGGUGCCGUAACUUCGGGAGAAGGCACGCUGGCGUUAGGUGAAAGGACUAGCUCCUGGAGCUGAAGCCAGUCGCAGAUACCAGCUGGCUGCAACUGUUUAAUAAAAACACAGCACUGUGCAAACACGAAAGUGGACGUAUACGGUGUGACGCCUGCCCGGUGCUGGAAGGUUAAUUGAUGGGGUCAGCCGCAAGGGGAAGCUCUUGAUCGAAGCCCCAGUAAACGGCGGCCGUAACUAUAACGGUCCUAAGGUAGCGAAAUUCCUUGUCGGGUAAGUUCCGACCUGCACGAAUGGCGUAAUGAUGGCCAGGCUGUCUCCACCCGAGACUCAGUGAAAUUGAACUCGCUGUGAAGAUGCAGUGUACCCGCGGCAAGACGGAAAGACCCCGUGAACCUUUACUAUAGCUUGACACUGAACAUUGAGCCUUGAUGUGUAGGAUAGGUGGGAGGCCUUGAAGUGUGGACGCCAGUCUGCAUGGAGCCAACCUUGAAAUACCACCCUUUAAUGUUUGAUGUUCUAACUCGGCCCCAUGAUCUGGGGUGAGGACAGUGUCUGGUGGGUAGUUUGACUGGGGCGGUCUCCUCCCAAAGAGUAACGGAGGAGCACGAAGGUUAGCUAAUCACGGUCGGACAUCGUGAGGUUAGUGCAAAGGCAUAAGCUAGCUUGACUGCGAGAGUGACGGCUCGAGCAGGUACGAAAGUAGGUCUUAGUGAUCCGGUGGUUCUGAAUGGAAGGGCCAUCGCUCAACGGAUAAAAGGUACUCCGGGGAUAACAGGCUGAUACCGCCCAAGAGUUCAUAUCGACGGCGGUGUUUGGCACCUCGAUGUCGGCUCAUCACAUCCUGGGGCUGAAGUAGGUCCCAAGGGUAUGGCUGUUCGCCAUUUAAAGUGGUACGCGAGCUGGGUUUAGAACGUCGUGAGACAGUUCGGUCCCUAUCUGCCGUGGGCGUUGGAAGAUUGAGAGGGGCUGCUCCUAGUACGAGAGGACCGGAGUGGACGAAUCACUGGUGUUCGGGUUGUCAUGCCAAUGGCAUUGCCCGGUAGCUAAAUUCGGAAGAGAUAACCGCGGAAAGCAUCUAAGCGGGAAACUUGCCUCGAGAUGAGUCUUCCCUGGGGCUUAAAGCCCCCUGAAGGAACGUUAAAGACUAUGACGUUGAUAGGCUGGGUGUGUAAGUGCAGCGAUGUAUUGAGCUAACCAGUACUAAUGAUCCGUGAGGCUUAACCUU
Molecule: ribosomal RNA, 2907 nt
Filed under: Yersinia pestis Nepal516
Lineage: Bacteria; Pseudomonadati; Pseudomonadota; Gammaproteobacteria; Enterobacterales; Yersiniaceae
Description: bacterial LSU rRNA
Rfam family: Bacterial large subunit ribosomal RNA
Source: RNAcentral